This 74-nucleotide transfer RNA is filed under the name Neotoma lepida (desert woodrat). It matches the Rfam family "tRNA". From Rfam's summary of the family: Transfer RNA (tRNA) molecules are approximately 80 nucleotides in length. The record is from Rfam by way of RNAcentral. Lineage: Eukaryota; Metazoa; Chordata; Mammalia; Rodentia; Cricetidae.
UGAGAGAUGACUCAGCAGGUAAGAGUGCUUGCUUCACAAACAUGAGAACUUGAGUUCAGAUCUCUGGCACUCAU